GGGUUGUGAGGUUAAGCGACUAAGCGUACACGGUGGAUGCCCUGGCAGUCAGAGGCGAUGAAGGGCGUGCUAAUCUGCGAUAAGCGCCGGUAAGGUGAUAUGAACCGUUAUAACCGGCGAUACCCGAAUGGGGAAACCCAGUGUGACUCGUCACACUAUCAUUAACUGAAUCCAUAGGUUAAUGAGGCGAACCGGGGGAACUGAAACAUCUAAGUACCCCGAGGAAAAGAAAUCAACCGAGAUUCCCCCAGUAGCGGCGAGCGAACGGGGAGGAGCCCAGAGCCUGAAUCAGCAUGUGUGUUAGUGGAAGCGUCUGGAAAGGCGCGCGAUACAGGGUGACAGCCCCGUACACAAAAGCGCAUGUGCUGUGAGCUCGAUGAGUAGGGCGGGACACGUGGUAUCCUGUCUGAAUAUGGGGGGACCAUCCUCCAAGGCUAAAUACUCCUGACUGACCGAUAGUGAACCAGUACCGUGAGGGAAAGGCGAAAAGAACCCCGGCGAGGGGAGUGAAAAAGAACCUGAAACCGUGUACGUACAAGCAGUGGGAGCCCCACCACCAAAGCAUUUGCUGUACCGCGUUGACGGAGCGAAGCGACGUCAAACCGAUAAAACAGCAGUGUAAAGUGAGCCGCAGGGCGCUUUGCGCGACAGCGCAAA
Molecule: ribosomal RNA, 657 nt
Filed under: Salmonella enterica
Lineage: Bacteria; Pseudomonadati; Pseudomonadota; Gammaproteobacteria; Enterobacterales; Enterobacteriaceae
Also listed under: 1 other name
Description: partial 23S ribosomal RNA
Rfam family: Bacterial large subunit ribosomal RNA
Source: RNAcentral